RNAcentral lists this long non-coding RNA (2432 nucleotides) under Marmota monax (woodchuck). Lineage: Eukaryota; Metazoa; Chordata; Mammalia; Rodentia; Sciuridae. The record is from RNAcentral.
CUUCCCUCUACCACAUCCACAUCCCCAGCCCUUUUUUUGUGUAUGUGCUGUGGAUUGAACCCAGAGCCUUGUACAUGUGAGGCAAGCACUCUACCAACAACUGACCUAUAUCCCCAGCCCCUUUUUUUAUGUUUUAUUAGAAAUAGGGGCUAAGUGAGUUGCUUAGAGGCUCCCUGAGUUGCUGAGGCUGGGUUUGAACUCACAAUCCUCCUGCCUCAGCCUCCCAAGUUUCUGGGAUUAUAGGCAGGAGCCACUGCACCCUGCUUAAAAAUUUCUGUUUAAAUAAUUCGUCCAAGUGUAUGUGGUUCCCUGGAAUAAUGCAUGCCUAAUGCAUCCCUAAUUUUCCUUACUGAGACAGUUUUCUAAGUUUUACAUUUAGCUUUGUAAGUAUACCUGAGAUAACCCCCCACCUUUUUAUUUUUUAUGGUGCUGGGGAUCAAAUCCCGGGCCCUGCAUGUGGUAGACAAGGGUUCCACCAUUGAGCUACACCCUCUAAUCAUGCACUUGGGAUUGACUGAUAGAACAUGGAUACAGGAUUUAAAACCCACAUCUGAAGACUGCUUUUCAGAUUUUAGCAUGCAUUAAGCAUGACCUGGAAAGUAUUUAAAACACAGAUUACUGAGAUCUGCCUGAGACAUUCUGGUUUAGUAGACGUGAAGUAGACCCCAAGAAUUUCCAUUUCUCCAGUGGACUUAUACUGCUAGUUCAAAAGAUCCCAGUUGGAAUAACACUAAGGUAGGAAUCCUUGGAAAGGGAAGGAAAAAAUUUAUUAGCCUAGAAGGCACAGUACUAAUCUAAAUAAUAGUGGUCACAGACACUAUACUACUGUUUGACUCUAGGGAGAUCGGGAAGGGCAGGCUUGUGAGUUGAAAAUGAUGGGGGAAAAAAGAGACUUGGAAGAAAUGAGACUGCUUUCUAGCUGUAGCCUCAAAGCUGUUUGUUCCUGGGGUAAGACAGCCCUUGCACUGCCAAUGCCACCCUGGAAGUACUCCUCAGCUUGUGGUGCUCAUCACUGGAUUCUAGUAGUGGGGCCACACACAGAUACAAAAUCAUAGUCUACCUCAGAAAUUGUUUUGAAUCUGGUUUUCCCUGUCCUUCCCCACUGCUUGCUACCUCUCACCUGGUAGCUUAUCAUAGGCUCCUGGCUAUUCUUUUUCUCUCCCUUUUUACUUUCAAGUCUGUGGUCAACAUAAUCAUCCGGGGGGUGGGGGGUGGGGGGAAAACCAUGACUGACCAAGUUUUCUGACUGCUUUGAAACCUCUGGAUACCAGUUGUCUAUAGGCUUAGGUUCAGAAAUGAUAAUAUACAAUUUCCUUUGUGAUCUGGAAGAUGAGAAUAUUAAAGAAAAAAAAUGUAGGUAAGUUCCCCAUCCCUGGAGUAAAACCUACCACUCUGGCAAAUAGACAUUAGAGACAGAGCCUGGACAUGGUUGAUUUCUUAAAUCAUUUGUACUCUUAGGUCUAUAAGUAUGAAUAUGACAUGUAUUCUAUCUUCAAGGGUCCUUCUCUGUUUCAUUAGUGUAGUGCUAUCAAGAGUUUUGUGAUGUCAGUGAUCCAUUCAUAUCUAAAUAGUUGAGGAAAAACAUCAUGAAUAUGAUCUAGAUGGUUGUAUUGAGUAGUUAGAAAGGAAAAAUCCAGUUUGAUCAGAGGAAAGGCAGGGAUGGGGAUGGGGUGCAGUGCAGAUAUUUGGGGGCUGGUCAGUGACAGAAGGAAAGCUAGAUUACAGUGGUUCAGACCUUGGUGGACUAAGUAAGCUAUUUAGAGCUGACAUUACAGGCCUGUAGAGGAUAUUUUGCAAAAAUGAUCCAUUGGCAUAUAUUACGAUUUGAAAAGGGGAGAGUAUGAAAGCAAGGGAAUAAGUUAAAGUGUUAAACUAAUUCUAGCAAAAGAUGUAGAAUUCUAGCUGAGUGCAGUGGCACACAACUGUAAUCUCAGCAUCUUGGGAGGCUGAGACAGGAGAAUGGCAGGUUUGAGGCCAGCCACAGCAAGUUAGCAAGGCCCUAAGCAACUUAGGGAGAACCUGUCUCAAAAUAAAAGGACUGGGUAUGUGGCUCAGUGGUAAAACACGUCUGGGUUCAAUCCCCAGUUCCAAAGGGAAAAAAAAGUAUGGAGUUCUGAUUAUCUCAUUUGCAUAGCCAUUUAGUUCCACAUGUAAGACAUGUAGGAAAGAAUCUGUAGAACUGAGAAUAAGUGAAUUCUACUGGGUGAAUGGUUUAAUGAUUUUGAUUGACUGGUUUAGGGUGGAUAAUAGAAAAAAAAAUCUCAUUGACAGAAAUAGAUUAAUAAGGAAAACUCAUUUUUGAGCAGACUUUAAUAUUUAUUUUUUAAUUAUAGGUGGACACAGUAAUUUUUAUUUUAUUUUAUGUGGUGCUGAGGAUCAAACCCAGAGGGCCUCACGCAUGCUAAGCGAGCACUCUACCUCUGAGCCACAAC